This 477-nucleotide ribosomal RNA is filed under the name uncultured bacterium. Its description in RNAcentral is "partial 16S ribosomal RNA". It matches the Rfam family "Bacterial small subunit ribosomal RNA", at positions 30 to 507 of the family's 1533-position model. The record is from RNAcentral.
AUUGAACGCUGGCGGCAUGCCUUACACAUGCAAGUCGAACGGUAACAGGUUAAGCUGACGAGUGGCGAACGGGUGAGUAAUGUAUCGGAACGUGCCCAGUCGUGGGGGAUAACUGCUCGAAAGAGCAGCUAAUACCGCAUACGACCUGAGGGUGAAACCGGGGGAUCGCAAUACCUCGCGCGAUUGGAGCGGCCGAGAUCAGAUUAGGUAGUUGGUGAGGUAAAGGUUCACUAAGCCGACGAUCUGUAGCUGGUCUGAGAGGGCGACCAGCCACACUGGGACUGAGACCCGGCCCAGACUCCUACGGGAGGCAGCAGUGGGGAAUUUUGGACAAUGGGCGCAAGCCUGAUCCAGCCAUGCCGCGUGCGGGAAGAAGGCCUUCGGGUUGUAAACCGCUUUUGUCAGGGAAGAAAAGGUUCUGGCUAAUACCUGGGACUCAUGACGGUACCUGAAGAAUAAGCACCGGCUAACUACGUG